This 506-nucleotide ribosomal RNA is filed under the name uncultured bacterium. RNAcentral's name for it is "partial 16S ribosomal RNA". It matches the Rfam family "Bacterial small subunit ribosomal RNA", at positions 29 to 523 of the family's 1533-position model. The record is from RNAcentral.
AGUGAACGCUGGCGGUAGGCCUAGCACAUGCAAGUCGAACGGCAGCACAAGAGAGCUUGCUCUCUGGGUGGCGAGUGGCGGACGGGUGAGGAAUACAUCGGAAUCUACUCUGUCGUGGGGGAUAACGUAGGGAAACUUACGCUAAUACCGCAUACGACCUACGGGUGAAAGCAGGGGACCUUCGGGCCUUGCGCGAUUGAAUGAGCCGAUGUCGGAUUAGCUAGUUGGCGGGGUAAAGGCCCACCAAGGCGACGAUCCGUAGCUGGUCUGAGAGGAUGAUCGGCCACACUGGAACUGAGACACGGUCCAGACUCCUACGGGAGGCAGCAGUGGGGAAUAUUGGACAAUGGGCGCAAGCCUGAUCCAGCCAUACCGCGUGGGUGAAGAAGGCCUUCGGGUUGUAAAGCCCUUUUGUUGGGAAAGAAAUCCAGCUGGCUAAUACCCGGUUGGGAUGACGGUACCCAAAGAAUAAGCACCGGCUAACUUCGUGCCAGCCGCCGCGGUAA